GAUGAACGCUGGCGGCGUGCCUAAUACAUGCAAGUCGAGCGAACGGACGAGAAGCUUGCUUCUCUGAUGUUAGCGGCGGACGGGUGAGUAACACGUGGAUAACCUACCUAUAAGACUGGGAUAACUUCGGGAAACCGGAGCUAAUACCGGAUAAUCUUUUGAACCGCAUGGUUCAAAAGUGAAAGACGGUCUUGCUGUCACUUAUAGAUGGAUCCGCGCUGCAUUAGCUAGUUGGUAAGGUAACGGCUUACCAAGGCAACGAUGCAUAGCCGACCUGAGAGGGUGAUCGGCCACACUGGAACUGAGACACGGUCCAGACUCCUACGGGAGGCAGCAGUAGGGAAUCUUCCGCAAUGGGCGAAAGCCGGACGGAGCAACGCCGCGUGAGUGAUGAAGGUCUUCGGAUCGUAAAACUCUGUUAUUAGGGAAGAACAUAUGUGUAAGUAACUGUGCACAUCUUGACGGUACCUAAUCAGAAAGCCACGGCUAACUACGUG
RNAcentral lists this ribosomal RNA (497 nucleotides) under uncultured bacterium. RNAcentral's name for it is "partial 16S ribosomal RNA". It matches the Rfam family "Bacterial small subunit ribosomal RNA", at positions 28 to 507 of the family's 1533-position model. The record is from RNAcentral.